GGGCCUGUCGUUCAACAGGAGGAUGUUCCCCUCGCACGGGAACGAUACGGGUGCGAUUCCCGUCAGGUCCA
Molecule: transfer RNA, 71 nt
Filed under: Deltaproteobacteria bacterium
Lineage: Bacteria; Pseudomonadati; Myxococcota; Myxococcia
Description: tRNA-Ala
Rfam family: tRNA
About the family: Transfer RNA (tRNA) molecules are approximately 80 nucleotides in length. Their secondary structure includes four short double-helical elements and three loops (D, anti-codon, and T loops).
Source: RNAcentral